AACGAACGCUGGCGGCAGGCCUAACACAUGCCAGUCGAGCGCCCCGCCAGGGGAGCGGCGGACGGGUGAGUAACGCGUGGGAACGUACCCUUUGCUACGGAAUAGCCUCGGGAAACUGGGAGUAAUACCGUAUGUGUCCUUCGGGAGAAAGAUUUAUCGGCAAGGGAUCGGCCCGCGUUGGAUUAGGUAGUUGGUGGGGUAAUGGCCUACCAAGCCGACGAUCCAUAGCUGGUUUGAGAGGAUGAUCAGCCACACUGGGACUGAGACACGGCCCAGACUCCUACGGGAGGGAGCAGUGGGGAAUCUUAGACAAUGGGCGCAAGCCUGAUCUAGCCAUGCCGCGUGAGCGAUGAAGGCCUUAGGGUUGUAAAGCUCUUUCAGGGGGGAAGAUAAUGACUGUACCCACAGAAGAAGCCCCGGCUAACUCCGUG
This 431-nucleotide ribosomal RNA is filed under the name uncultured bacterium. Its description in RNAcentral is "partial 16S ribosomal RNA". It matches the Rfam family "Bacterial small subunit ribosomal RNA", at positions 29 to 507 of the family's 1533-position model. The record is from RNAcentral.